Molecule: long non-coding RNA, 1826 nt
Filed under: Capra hircus (goat)
Lineage: Eukaryota; Metazoa; Chordata; Mammalia; Artiodactyla; Bovidae
Description: lncRNA (ENSCHIG00010018078.1)
Source: RNAcentral
AAUGCUCAGCAAUGUAAGUUAAUGGCAUUUAAACUGUAUCUGAUUGUUCCUCUUAAUAGUAUUUUUACUUAAUAAAUAGUAGUACUCACAUAGGAUUAUUUGAAUGAAUGGCUGCUAUUUUGGAUAUUAUCUUAAAAUUUACUUUUAUGCAUUCUAAGUGCAAAAAUAAAAGAGAAAAGGAAGACUUUCUUUUUUACUCUCUCACUCUAUCUUAUUUUGUUCCUAAGCUUGUGCUACUGGUGUAUAUGUUUGUGUGCCAUGUAUGUUUUGAAUUCCUAGAAGAAUUAUUUAGUGAACAUUUUUUUAAAUAGGAAAAAAAUACUGCAAGAAAAAUAUCAGUGAACUUGAUAUAAUGUUCUGUUUUGGUUAGAACUGGAUCAUGAAUUUUAUUUUUGUCUUCCACGUUCUGUGAAUGGUAACACAAGAUGAUUAACUCUGUAUCUUAGAUUUGCUACGAAAGCAUGCUAAAAUUCUGUCAAUGUUGCUGUGUGGUUGAGGAUUGUGUUUUUUUCCUUCUUUCUACUUUCUGAUAGAGAGAACUGUAAAUGUUUUAUAUUCACAUGUGCAGUUGCUGUGUUAUAAUACAUAUAUAAGUUUAUGUUAUAAGCUAGGAUACUAUGGGGGUUUCCCUGGUGGCUCAGAUAGUAAAGAAUCUGCCUACAAUGUGGAAGACCUGGGUUUGAUAUCUGGGUUGGGAAGAUGCCCUGGAGGAGGAAAUGGCAACUCACUACAGUAGUCUUGCCUGUAAAAUUCCGAAGACAGAGGAGCCUGGUGGGCUGCAGUCCAUGGGAUUGCAAAGAGUUGGAUACAACUGAAUGACUAAGCACGCACACAGGAUACUAUUAUGGUUAUAUUUAUCAUUCUACCAGUAGCCAGUGAAAACCAUUACUGCCCUUCUUUUAAAAGAUUUUAAGUUAGUUAUAUUGUUAUGGAAGAAGUGGUUUAAGAAUUUGGACCUUUAAGCAUUUUAAUGGAGUUAUUUUCCUUUUAAUAAAGUUCAAAGCAAUUACACAUGUGUAAACCUUAAUAAUCAAUGGUUGUUCGAUCUUGUUAUUAUUAACUACAAUUAUAUUUGUGAAGUAAUAGACUUCUGACUAUAAUCAGAGAUGUAUUCACGGCCAUCUAAAGAGGGAAAGUUGUCUAUGCUUGCAGAAGUAAUGCAAUAGCUGGAACAGAGAGUAAAAAGCUAACCAAUAUUUAUCUAGUUUUAAAGCAAGUAUCAUGAUGUAAUCUUGGUUUUAGUGCCAACUUGGGGACCAUGUGGUUUCUGGUGAAAGUUUAAACCAUUGGAAAUAUAUUGUUUGAGACUCUUUUCUUUAAUAGUCCUUCCACUUUAGGAAGUUUAAAAAAUUUCCAUAAAAUAACUUGUGCUGAUUGCUUGCACUCUGUUUGAGACAAACACAUGUCGUUCAUGUAAUUUCGCUGUUUGUAAUUUUCCCAAACAUUCAUCUGAAGUGAACAGUUUCUGCUGAAGGCCACAGCUCUGUUGGGUGCUUUCAUUCUUCUGUUCUGAAUUCUCCUUAACCUACAUAGCUCAGCCUUUUCCUGCUGCAGAUCUUUCUUUUAGGUUCAUUUCAAACCAUCUUACUACUAUUCUAUAUCUUAAAUAUGUCACCUCUUACGUGUGUUAGAGUAAUUUUUUUGCUGCAUAAAAUCAGGCAUAUACUAUGGCCCCUUUUGAUUUCCUCUCAUUGAUUAGGCACUGAUGAUUUCAACAGAACAUGUAAUAGCCAAGGAUUUUGAAAAUUCUUGUGCUCAAAACUAUUGAGAAUAGAAUGCUAUUGCUGCUGCUAAGUCGCUUCAGUCGUGUCUGACUCUGUGUGACC